CCUGACAUGGGGCUUGAACUUGUGAACCACAAGAUCAUGACCUGAGCCCAAGUCAAAGGCUUAACUGACUGAGCCACCCAGAGGCCCCAAAGGUAGAGACUUUUAAACAGGCUUUUCUACAUGUUGCCAAUUUUUUCUCCAGGAAGGUUCCACCAAUUUAAACUCCCAUCCAAAGUGCAUGCAUGUGCCUCCCUCCCCAAAACCUCACCAGGACUUGGCAUCAUCAGUAUCAGUCUUCUUGAUCAUUCCCAUUCUGACAUCUGGUUCUUCUUUUGAAGCCUGGGCUCCAUCACCAGUAGCUUGACCUUUUUCAAGGUCAAGCAGGCAUGGAUGGCACUUUAUUAUUUAAAGAGCUAGCUUCCCAAGGGGACACAUCAACUUUCUUCAUAAGCCAGUAUCUGUUCAUCCUGGUUUUCAAGGUUGAACGAAAUUUCCCUUUAAACGUGUGCCUGGAUUUCUGAGUUUUACUGGCAAGGAUAGAUUGGGCCUGUUUCAAAGCUGAGUAAAAUUAAUGGCCAAGUGAAGGAUCGUCUGUGGCCAGGGCUGACCUAAACUGGAAAAUCAUUGUCAGGACACCGCUCAACUGCACGUAGGUCACCGUCCCUCUGAUUUAUCUUAGAACUUGAGGUAAACAACGUAUUUCUGUUCUUGAAAAAUCUGUCUCUUGUUCAAUCAUGCUAUUUGUUUUAAGGGGUUUAAAUUUUUUUGGUGAAUAAUGAAACGUCUCACUUAGAGCUAACAAUAUUAACACGCUUCAUCAGAUUUUUUUACUGAAGUAGUGAGAUAAUUACAGAAAUUAUGACAUUUAAUUUCCUAGAAAUAAUUUAACCUUAUAAUUUGUGUGUUUUUUUCAUUUCAGAAUAUUACUUCCAUAAAUACACACACACACACACACACACACACACACACAUACCACCACACACUAAAUAAUUUUUUUCCCUCCAGGACUCACUGUCCUCUCAAGAGUUAAUUUUCUGUGCCUUAUUUAAAAAAUGGUCAAAACAGAGCUCCUGGCUUUGUCCUGCCAGCUCCUGAGUUGGAGAAGACAUUCGUCAGCUUGCACUUGCUCUUGUGUCAGUCGAGGGUGAAGUCCAGCCCAGGGCUCCACGUGGAUCCUCAUGUGACCCAGGUGUCUCUUUUUAGGCUGAUUUUUGGAAAGAAGUUACAAGUGUUACUCAACCUAUGUGCGCAUUUUAUGGAGUUCUUUAUAAAAGAUAAAGUUAUAAAUGUGACUUUGCCCGUCCUAAGGCAAGUUUACCGGAUGACUUCUAGGACCCGUGAAUGCGGAGAAGGGUGGUUCCAGAAAGAUGGGCUGGCUGCAAGCGAUGGCUGAAGGAGGAUAGAUGAUGACAGUGUAAGUAUCGGCCAAGAUACUUGAUGUGUUGGACGAAGACCCAGACAAACACAUUCUGACGAGAUGUUCUCCAUUCCAGCUGGUCCUCAGAGGGCUUCAGGUUUAUGCUGCACUGAGGAGUAAAGGUUAAUUUAUCUGGCGCUUCCCCCUGGAAGGCCUCCCAGGGUGAGGCUGGCUUCCUGCAGGGUGGGGCUGCUUGGCAAGCAUCCUGAGAAAGUACUGAGGUGGAGGGGCAUGAUGGGAGGCCAAGGCUCCAUACAUCGGACACCUGGAACUGCGAGAUUUGCACCUGAGCUCCUGUUCACACCAGGGAGGGUCUGGUCACGCUGCAAACAGGAAUGCUGAGAAGCCUUGACGGCGGAAGUCCAAGGCUUGGACCACAGGCCCUCGUCAUACCAGAGCUGAUGCCUACUUUCCUGCGUGCGGUUUAUUCGUCCAGAGUUUAGAUGGCGGUCUCGCCAGAUCACUGUGCGCUGUCUCAGACAGCAACUGGCCAAGAAGGGAUCUCAUACCUCCUCCUCUUCCUGCUUCUGUAAGUUUCUCUGAAUAAAUGCUAUUCUGGG
This is a long non-coding RNA of Leopardus geoffroyi (Geoffroy's cat), 1917 nucleotides long. RefSeq lists it as uncharacterized. NCBI's taxonomy places the organism in Eukaryota, Metazoa, Chordata, Mammalia, Carnivora, Felidae. The transcript is spliced from 2 exons. The record is from RefSeq and is a predicted model, not a curated record.